GACGAACGCUGGCGGCGUGCUUAACACAUGCAAGUCGAACGGAAAGGCCCUGCUUUUGUGGUGUGCUCGAGUGGCGAACGGGUGAGUAACACGUGAGUAACCUGCCCUUGACUUUGGUAUAACUUCAGGAAACUGGGGCUAAUACCGGAUAGGAGCUCCUGCUGCAUGGUGGGGGUUGGAAAGUUUCGGCGGUUGGGGAUGGACUCGCGGCUUAUCAGCUUGUUGGUGGGGUAGUGGCUUACCAAGGCUUUGACGGGUAGCCGGCCUGAGAGGGUGACCGGCCACAUUGGGACGGAGAUACGGCCCAGACUCCUACGGGAGGCAGCAGUGGGGAAUAUUGCACAAUGGGCGGAAGCCUGAGGCAGCAACGCCGCGUGCGGGAUGACGGCCUUCGGGUUGUAAACCGCUUUCGCCUGUGACGAAGCGUGAGUGACGGUAAUGGGUAAAGAAGCACCGGCUAACUACGUG
Molecule: ribosomal RNA, 468 nt
Filed under: uncultured bacterium
Lineage: Bacteria
Description: partial 16S ribosomal RNA
Rfam family: Bacterial small subunit ribosomal RNA
Source: RNAcentral